Mus caroli (Ryukyu mouse) is the source of this 131-nucleotide small nucleolar RNA. RefSeq annotates it as small nucleolar RNA SNORA17. The record is from RefSeq and is a predicted model, not a curated record. NCBI's taxonomy places the organism in Eukaryota, Metazoa, Chordata, Mammalia, Rodentia, Muridae.
CCUGUCCCAGAGGCAUUCCAAGUGUGGUUGCUGUGUCACCUGUGCAUUAGUAGGCAUCAGAGAGUAGAGAGUCUAUGUCUUCGCUCAGUGUUCUAACCUAGGAACAUCUGAAUUAUUAGCAGCCUAUCAUU